RNAcentral lists this ribosomal RNA (392 nucleotides) under uncultured bacterium. Its description in RNAcentral is "bacterial SSU rRNA". It matches the Rfam family "Bacterial small subunit ribosomal RNA", at positions 28 to 423 of the family's 1533-position model. The record is from RNAcentral.
GACGAACGCUGGCGGCGUGCUUAACACAUGCAAGUCGAGCGGUAAGGCCCUUUCGGGGGUACACGAGCGGCGAACGGGUGAGUAACACGUGGGUGACCUGCCCUCAGCUCUGGGAUAAGCCUGGGAAACCGGGUCUAAUACUGGAUAUGACUCCAUGACGCAUGUUGUGGGGUGGAAAGCCUUGUGCGGCUGAGGAUGGGCCCGCGGCCUAUCAGCUUGUUGGUGGGGUGANGGCCUACCAAGGCGACGACGGGUAGCCGGCCUGAGAGGGCGACCGGCCACACUGGGACUGAGACACGGCCCAGACUCCUACGGGAGGCAGCAGUGGGGAAUCUUGCGCAAUGGGCGAAAGCCUGACGCAGCGACGCCGCGUGAGGGAUGACGGCCUCGGU